Molecule: RNA transcript, 3674 nt
Organism: Scaptodrosophila lebanonensis
Lineage: Eukaryota; Metazoa; Arthropoda; Insecta; Diptera; Drosophilidae
Exons: 16
Source: RefSeq, a predicted model, not a curated record
CUUUGUAUAUUAUUCUGCAUAUAUUCUACGUCGUGUAUAGAGUUGAAAUUUUCAAUGAUGACAAUCGAAUUGAAUGCCGUUUCCAUCUGCCUCUAAACGAUGGAUUUAGCAGAUCAAAUCGAUGACUAUAUCUGUUCAUUCGAAGGACUUGGUGACUUAACAAUGGACUCGCUAGCCAUGUUUAUCUUUCUGUGGGCCGUGUUGACCCUCUUCUCCGUCUGGCUGUGCAAGUUACUCUACAACAAGUAUCUGAACAAGGAAAAGUCCGGCAGUGCCAGCAAUAGUAGGCAGACCAGCGUUGCGCCGAGCACUGCAGCGACAGGAAGUGGUGCGAAGGGCACCGAGAAGCGUCUGUCCGAGCCACGCGACAUGCUGGCCACGAAAUCCAAAGUAGAAGAUCUAUCGAAACCACUGACAGGUGGUGCGGCGGGCCGCGGUCGCUCCACAGCCUCGCCCAUGGGUGGUGGCAGUGGUGGCGCUGCAGGCGGACCACGUCGCCGUAUGGUGCGUCAAAGCUCAACGGGACCGGAAAAUCGCAAGAAACGUUAUGUGCCACCGCCCUCAAAUGUUGUGGGACCGGAGACGAGCUCCGUUACGUGGACUAGCCAGGUGUUCCGCUGGCUGUAUAGCGACCUAGUUAUUGUGAAUGAGUUGCUCAUGUCCUGGGUUAUAGCGCUCAACGACACGCUGCGCAAAUCGGUCGAGGAGCAUGGCGUGGCCGUUGAAGUUGUCCGCGUGCUGCCCGACAGCCCCGCACCUGGUCUGAACAAUAUUUUCUGCAACUGCGAGGAGCAGAAUCCGGCCGAGAUGCUCAUCACAUUCGACUGCGAUGCCAUGCCCGUGCUUCAGGUUAAGACCUUCCGGCAGAAGUCCGGAAAGGUGGAGACAUCGCAUUACAAGGUGACGGUGUCGCGAUUCCGUGCACGCAUGGCCAUACCAAUGAACUAUAAUACACUGAAGGGUGAGAUGCGUGUCGAGGGCUAUCCCGAUGUGCGCAUUGCGAUGAACAGUGUGGGUGCUAUUAAGGCUUUGGAUCAGGACGAGCAACAAUUGCAGACCGUCAUCAGCGACAUUCUAACAACAGCACUGCGCGAUACCAUCUACCCGGUGGACUUUUCCAUGUACUCCACCUGUCCGCGCGCCGAAGUGGAGCCAAUAGAGUUGCCUGUAAUAUAUCCCGUCCACUAUGACUCCCUGGCGCACAACAUGGAGCAUCUGGGCCUGGGAAAUCUGCGCGACUCACAACACAUGGUCUCCGGACGACGCUUGCUGGUGAAGAUUGUCAAAGGCGAGGGUCUGCGGGACGCCCACGAUCCCUAUGUGGUUAUCGAAAUGGACGAGCCGGCGCAGAAGAAUCAGACGGGCACACAGCGCGGCAGCAAACCCUUCUGGGAUGAGCAUUUCCUCUUCGAACUCUCCCCCCAGUCUGCCGAAAUACUCUUUGAGGUCUAUGACCGUCCAGUGAUAGCCUCCGAUCCGCCCAAGUUCCUGGGCCUUGGCCUGGUCGGCAUUGAUGAGCUGGCCGUGGGUCCGGCCUCUACGCAAUUGUUAACCCUGCAGCCGCGUCCCUAUGAGACGCAGCAAGUGGCGGGCGCCAUUACCGUGGACUUUGUGUUCAUUGAGGGCGCCGAGAUUCCUGCCGGACCCCGUUCCCACAAACUAAAGGAGGCAAUGCGUCUCAGCACGCCCGCCAUCAAUGAACAUAUGCGCAAUGGCGCCGAUCUGGCGGAUGCGGCGGUUCGCGCCCUUCAAGAUGGUGCCCUUUCCACCUCGGCCAACGGCCAACAGCCCAGCAAGAGCACGCUAAUCAUUCACAGUGUUCAACGGAAUUCAAGCAGCCCCAAUGCAUACAAGGUCGAAUUGAACAAGGAUGGCCAAAUCGAGGUACUCGAGGCCCAAUCUCCGACAGAGCUCGAUCAGGUCGUGGCACAGGCCUUUGAGCGUGCGGCAAAUGAGGCCGCCAGUGCGGCAUUAAUUGAGGCAGAGACCGAUGCUGCAGCUGUGGCAACAGGUCUCUCGGCUGCCAAGUCCAACGAGUUAAUAAACGAAACAGGUAACGCCAGCGAGGACAACACUGCCGAGUUCGGCCAGCCCAAUGCCGCCUCCUCGCCCAACGGCAGUGGUUAUCACAACAACUACAGCUUGAACGGCAACAGCAAUCUGGCCGGCCAGGGCAAUGGGAGCGGGGCCAACACAAACCUUGGCUACAACUCGAAUAGCUUGCCUCGCAACGGCGGCACGUCGCCAUAUCUCUCCCAGCAGCAUCAGCAGCAGCAGCAGCAACAGCCUUUGGGCGAUCUGGACGAUCGCGGUCGCAGCAAAAAACGUAAUUUCUUUGGCACCCUUAAGAAGCGACUCAGUCGCUCCAAGACACGUACUCUAUCGGCCGAUCAGCCCAAUAACCACCAUCAAUCACUAUCAGCCACCAAUACCGCCAAUACAACAACAGCCACAGGACUCACAAGAACAGCCACAGGAGCCCUCAAUGGUGAAUCUUCACGUUCAUUAUCUGUCGAUCGUGCCACUUUGUCUAAAAGCAAUUCACUUGGACCCCGCAUGGGCAUUGGCUCAUCCAUCGACCAUUCACGUCGCUCUUCAAUUUCAGAAUCCUCUGCCAUCUCAGGCUUCUCAUCGGCUAGCAAUAAAACCUACGUUCAUGAGGCCUCCACACUGGUGCUGGAGACCAUUGAGAAUGGCGUCAAGCGACACUUUAUUGUGCCGCUGGCCAUCGCGCAACGUCCUCGCUGGCGCCGCAAGGGCACCAAAUUGCACAUCUAUAAUGAUCACACGUUCAUUGCCAAGCAUUUGAGUGGUGGUGGCUUGCAAUGCUCCAUCUGCAUGAAGUCCAUACCGCGCCGACCUGGAAAGCAGGGUUACGAGUGUCGCGAUUGUCAGAUAAUCUGUCACAAGCAAUGUCACAUACGCGCGCCCCAGGCGUGUCCCAAUCCAACGGUACUCUCCAUGGAACUGAUGACUAAUGAAUGAGCAGUAAAAAAUAUUUUGCACAAUUAAAAUAAAAAAGAAAUAUACAAUAUUUAUAGUUAUUUUUUUUUAAGUUUAACUAAAAUGGUAUUAAACAAAAGUUUGAAACCACUUGUGCGGCAUUUGCCUUAUUUCAUUUGAUUUCGUAAUUUUGACGCCAUUUGUAAAGUUUUUAAAGCACAUGAGCAGACAAGUUACAUGAAUUGAAAACAGAGAUCAACUGAGAUGCGUUUAGGUCCUGAGACUGAAAGGUCUUAGAAAAGCUGCAAAGGGUUUUAGAAAACUAUCUUAUAGUCUAGUCAAAUGGAACUAAGCUUAACUCAGCGGCGGCGGAUCGAAGCAUACGUAAAUUGUAGGAACUGCAACAGCAUGUUUAGGAUAUAAAGAAACAACAUAAAUCGAAAUAAAACUUACUAAUAUUUUUGCAUACCUUACACCUUAAGGAAGGAAUCGAAAACAGAAAUAACCUGGAGCUACACGAACAGUUAUCAUUUAUGUUAUUUAUUUUAUACACAAGUGCAAUAUUUUGGUUUUCUUUUAAUUUACAUGUACGUGUUUUCUAUUGAAUACACAAGCUUAAGUCACUCUGUAAAGUCUUCGUACGUGUAUUUUGUAUUUUCUACAAAGCAAUGAUAAUAAUUGUAAAAACGAAUAAUAAUUUUUCGAAUAAAAAUCGCUGGAAAAAGAGAAAA